GACGAACGCUGGCGGCAUGCUUAACACAUGCAAGUCGAACGGAAAGGCCCUGCUUUUGUGGGGUGCUCGAGUGGCGAACGGUUGAGUAACACGUGAGUAACCUGCCCUUGACUUUGGGAUAACUUCAGGAAACUGGGGCUAAUACCGGAUAGGAGCUCCUGCUGCAUGGUGGGGGUUGGAAAAUUUCGGCGGUUGGGGAUGGACUCGCGGCUUAUCAGCUUGUUGGUGGGGUAGUGGCUUACCAAGGCUUUGACGGGUAGCCGGCCUGAGAGGGUGACCGGCCACAUUGGGACUGAGAUACGGCCCAGACUCCUACGGGAGGCAGCAGUGGGGGAUAUUGCACAAUGGGCGGAAGCCUGAUGCAGCAACGCCGCGUGCGGGAUGACGGCCUUCGGGUUGUAAACCGCUUUCGCCUGUGACGAAGCGUGAGUGACGGUAAUGGGUAAAGAAGCACCGGCUAACUACGUG
Molecule: ribosomal RNA, 468 nt
Filed under: uncultured bacterium
Lineage: Bacteria
Description: partial 16S ribosomal RNA
Rfam family: Bacterial small subunit ribosomal RNA
Source: RNAcentral